CGACAUAGCUCAGUUGGUAGAGCUACUGAUUUGUAAUCAGUGGGUCGGGAGUUCGAGUCUCUCUGUCGGC
This 70-nucleotide transfer RNA is filed under the name human gut metagenome. It matches the Rfam family "tRNA". Rfam says of the family: Transfer RNA (tRNA) molecules are approximately 80 nucleotides in length. Their secondary structure includes four short double-helical elements and three loops (D, anti-codon, and T loops). RNAcentral also lists the same sequence under 4 other names. The record is from RNAcentral.